Molecule: ribosomal RNA, 495 nt
Filed under: uncultured bacterium
Lineage: Bacteria
Description: partial 16S ribosomal RNA
Rfam family: Bacterial small subunit ribosomal RNA
Source: RNAcentral
GACGAACGCUGGCGGCGUGCCUAAUACAUGCAAGUAGAACGCUGAAGGAGGAGCUUGCUUCUCUGGAUGAGUUGCGAACGGGUGAGUAACGCGUAGGUAACCUGCCUGGUAGCGGGGGAUAACUAUUGGAAACGAUAGCUAAUACCGCAUAAUAGUAGAUGUUGCAUGACAUUUGCUUAAAAGGUGCAAUUGCAUCACUACCAGAUGGACCUGCGUUGUAUUAGCUAGUUGGUGGGGUAACGGCUCACCAAGGCGACGAUACAUAGCCGACCUGCGAGGGUGAUCGGCCACACUGGGACUGAGACACGGCCCAGACUCCUACGGGAGGCAGCAGUAGGGAAUCUUCGGCAAUGGACGGAAGUCUGACCGAGCAACGCCGAGUGAGUGAAGAAGGUUUUCGGAUCGUAAAGCUCUGUUGUAAGAGAAGAACGAGUGUGAGAGUGGAAAGUUCACUCUGUGACGGUAUCUGACCAGAAAGGGACGGCUAACUACGUG